This is a non-coding RNA of Cajanus cajan (pigeon pea), 195 nucleotides long. The record is from Rfam. NCBI's taxonomy places the organism in Eukaryota, Viridiplantae, Streptophyta, Magnoliopsida, Fabales, Fabaceae.
AUACCUUUCUCGGCCUUUUGGCUAAGAUCAAGUGUAGUAUCUGUUCUUAUCAGUUUAAUAUCUGAUAUGUGGGUCAUUGGCUCACACGAUAUUAAAUUUAUUUUUUGAAGGGGAAGGUUCAAACAGUAGCUUGCUAUUGGGGCCUUCAUGUGUCGCCUAUGUGUUGCACUGCAACAUGGGCCUGGCACACCCUAC